RNAcentral lists this transfer RNA (76 nucleotides) under Bradyrhizobium shewense. RNAcentral describes it as "tRNA_Pseudo_CTT". Lineage: Bacteria; Pseudomonadati; Pseudomonadota; Alphaproteobacteria; Hyphomicrobiales; Nitrobacteraceae. The record is from RNAcentral.
AAGUACCUGUUUGUGUUCGUAGAACAUGAGACUCUUAAUCAGCGGGUCCCAGGUUCGAGCCCUGGUGCGCCCACCA